UGGGGAAUAUUGGGCAAUGGGCGAAAGCCUGACCCAGCAACGCCGCGUGAGGGAAGAAGGGUUUCGGCUCGUAAAACCUCUGUCCUAUGGGACGAAGGAAGUGACGGUACCAUAGGAGGAAGCCCCGGCUAACUACGUGCCAGCAGCCGCGGUAAUACGUAGGGGGCGAGCGUUGUCCGGAAUGAUUGGGCGUAAAGGGCGCGUAGGCGGCCUGCUAAGUCUGGAGUGAAAGUCCUGCUUUCAGGUGGGAAUUGCUUUGGAUACUGGGAGGCUGGAGUGCAGGAGAGGAAAGCGGAAUUACCGGUGUAGCGGUGAAAUGCGUAGAGAUCGGUAGGAACACCAGUGGCGAAGGCGGCUUUCUGGACUGAAACUGACGCUGAGGCGCGAAAGCGUGGGGAGCAAACAGGAUUAGAUACC
This 417-nucleotide ribosomal RNA is filed under the name uncultured bacterium. RNAcentral's name for it is "bacterial SSU rRNA". It matches the Rfam family "Bacterial small subunit ribosomal RNA", at positions 355 to 786 of the family's 1533-position model. The record is from RNAcentral.